This 72-nucleotide transfer RNA is filed under the name Pangasius djambal. RNAcentral's name for it is "tRNA-Glu". The record is from RNAcentral. Lineage: Eukaryota; Metazoa; Chordata; Actinopteri; Siluriformes; Pangasiidae.
UCCCUGGAGGAUUAGUGGUUAGGCCACAGUGCUCUCACCAAUGAGGCUAGGGUUCGAUUCCUGGCCAGGAAA